RNAcentral lists this transfer RNA (72 nucleotides) under Actinomycetales bacterium. RNAcentral describes it as "tRNA-Lys". It matches the Rfam family "tRNA". Rfam says of the family: Transfer RNA (tRNA) molecules are approximately 80 nucleotides in length. Their secondary structure includes four short double-helical elements and three loops (D, anti-codon, and T loops). The record is from RNAcentral. Lineage: Bacteria; Bacillati; Actinomycetota; Actinomycetes; Actinomycetales.
GCACCGCUAGCUCAACGGCAGAGCAACUGACUCUUAAUCAGUGGGUUCUGGGUUCGAAUCCCAGGCGGUGUA